AUCCAGAGGACAAGUCCCAAAUAGGACGAAAUGUGCAUCCUGGAU
RNAcentral lists this non-coding RNA (45 nucleotides) under Trichobilharzia regenti. Lineage: Eukaryota; Metazoa; Platyhelminthes; Trematoda; Strigeidida; Schistosomatidae. The record is from RNAcentral.